CCCCAGCCCGCCUCCUACCGCCGGAGGCAGUCGUCGUGGGCAAGCGAGCGACGGCGGCAGCCGAAGCGAGGGAGCCUGCAGCGCCGUGACGGGUCGCUCCUCCGACCCACGCGCUGCCGCCGGCUGGCCGUCUGCAUGCCUCCCCGCCGACGGGCUCGCCUCCUCUUGUCCCGGACCCCUUGUCCCGGACAAUUCCCCCAACCCGAUCCCACCACCCCGAGCGCGCCGCCAUCGUGCCCCUCGCCGAGCACACAGCCAUCGGCCACCUGCGUUGCGCCGCCGCCUCCCCCCUCCCCAGCGCGCCUCGGCCAGUCACUACGUCAGCACGCCGAUGUCUGCCCACUGCCCCAGCGCGCUGCUUCCACGACCUCCCUCCCUUAGUGUGCCGCCAUCUACCCCUGCCUCCGUGCGCCACCACCUACCUCCGAGCGCCGCCGGUCUUCGUGCACAACUGGCCACCGCUGCCUCCUGCGCCAACUAUGUCCCGAGACUAGCCAUGGUGGUGGAUCCAAGAUUCGCCGAGGGAAAAGGGGAGCUGCUGCUCCCUGUUGAUGGCCGGUCCUUGCCACCGACCGCGGCACUCCCGACGUGUCCGAGCGCGAGCGCCCCUAGAGGCUUGCUCCCCUGCACCCCUGAACCAGCGCCAUCCACCACUCGAGCAGGAUGGCAAUGGCGACAACAUCCAGCGGUCCUCCUCUGCCUCUGCUUGCCCUGCGUUCAUCACUGGCCAACCGUGCAAAUCCAUGUAAAAUGAGUUCAGUUCAAUGGAUUCCAAAAAGGAAAAAAUUAUGGUUGGGUGAGAAAUCAACUUCCUGUACAGUUCUGCCAUGAGCAUAGGACGACCCCGACCACUGGCACCACUGCUUCCCGACCUCUUGCUUGCAUCGCCAUCUCCCGGUGGGGCUUUGCCGCCGGAGCACCCUGGUCGUUCACAGCCACCACUCCAGGCCGUUGAAAUAAAUCAAGCAGUGUUUUGUCGACAACAUGGUGAUAGCCCUUCACUGAAAUAAAUCAGACCUCGAAUCUGAGUUCUUCAUGGAGUAUGGUGAAAUAAACAGGUAUCAGGUUGGUGGUGAUUAAGGCCACUACGCCAGUCCAGUCCCACCUCCCAGACAGGUCUCCGCCGCUACAUCAUCUCGCAAACCGAGCCCCCCUGGUGUCGCAUCUUGUCGAGCUCACUGCCUUGCCGUGGUUCCAGUGGGGGACGGGCAUGCUCAUACACAGGAGGAUGGAUGCCCUGGUCUGGUACGACCAGGAUGGUAUCGGUGCUUCGGCCAACUCCAUCAAUCUGCUUAGUAAAUGCCCACUCCUAAAUCCGUUUGAAGUUUUGGUUAUGAUCGCCAUGCUCUUCUCAAUUUUCAAAACUUUAAGAGUUCAAAGUACACAAGAACAUAAGUCCCCUAUGCUUUGCGUCAGAUAUCUGAUAUUUGUGAGGGGAACUUCAAUUUUCUUCAGUUCAACUUUUGAAUGUGUUUCAGUUCGUCUACUUCCCAGUCGUCCUAUGUCAAUCAAAAAAAGCAGCAGUUUAGCACGAAAAAUAGAGCCUCUUCUCUUCCCAGUACACAACACAGAAGGUAUUUGUCUCCAACUUACAUUAAGAGUUCAAAGUACACAAAGGAAAAAGGUUCAAUUUUCAAAACUUUAAGAGUUCAAAGUACACAAGAACAUAAGUCCACUAUGCUUUGCAUCAGAUAUCUGAUAUUUGUGAGGGGAAAUUCAAUUUUCUUUAGUUCAACUUUUGAAUGUGUUUCAGUUCGUCUACUUCCCAGUCGUCCUGUGUUAGCUAGAUCAGUACUAGUGCUCACCAGUACGACAAGUAGCAGUACUGAUUAGUACGACCUACACAAAUACUAUUACUGAUCAGUAAUAUUCUUAAUGUUAAAAAGUAACAUCCAUAUAGAAAAAUUGCUUCUAUUCUAACACACAAUUUUUUGGAAAAAAGAGCACUAGUACUGAUGAGUCGUACCGACAAGGAUGCCGUCUACAAUUCUAAAAUUAUUGUUGAGUCGUACUAGUACUAUUACUGAUGAAAAUGGGAAGCAAGUGUCACAUGAAUCCUCAAUUGAAUGGGAAGCAAGGUGAUCCUCGCUCCUUCAACUCCACUUCGCCAGUGCCCGUCAGUCUGCGGGAGUAGGGGCGGCGUGCUCGUCAACAAACAAGAACAGAAGGGAGCAACUGGCGUCGAAUGGGCCCCUGGGAGCUAGUCCAACCCGCUCGCAGACUGGAGGGCAUGUUGGUUUAUUUCCAAUGAAGCCCUAUGUACAAUCAGUCUGUUCGUUUGAUAAGAAAGGAGACAACAUAGAAGUUAUGGUUGAAGCAAGUCCCUCCAUCCAGUUAUGUCCGAUUUUUGUGAUAGUAGUUCAAAAUGAGGGAUAUAUUGUAUAAACUUUUUUGGACUUGUGCCCAGGCUGCUUCUGAACAACUCCAAUGCUUUAUUGGCCUUAGUACUACAGUUUGGUAACUUUGAACUGAGAACUCUAUGAACUCUUGGACAUGUUCAUAAAGUAUUCCUGGACUAAGAACUCGAUGAACUCCUAGACCUAUUCAUAAAGUAUUGUUGGAGAACUCUCAGUAGUUCUAGUAUUAUAGUGUGUGUUUUGAACUAAGAGAUAUACUCUAUGAACUUUCUCUACUCUUGAAGCAUUUUGUUCUCAUAUAUAAA
Molecule: long non-coding RNA, 2662 nt
Organism: Triticum aestivum (bread wheat)
Lineage: Eukaryota; Viridiplantae; Streptophyta; Magnoliopsida; Poales; Poaceae
Exons: 4
Source: RefSeq, a predicted model, not a curated record